Molecule: ribosomal RNA, 237 nt
Filed under: uncultured bacterium
Lineage: Bacteria
Description: partial 16S ribosomal RNA
Rfam family: Bacterial small subunit ribosomal RNA
Source: RNAcentral
UGAGUAACCUGCCCUUGACUCUGGGAUAAGCCUGGGAAACCGGGUCUAAUACCGGAUAUGACUGCCGGCCGCAUGGCCUGGUGGUGGAAAGCUUUAUUGCGGUUUUGGAUGGGCUCGCGGCCUAUCAGCUUGUUGGCGGGGUAAUGGCCCACCAAGGCGACGACGGGUAGCCGGCCUGAGAGGGUGACCGGCCACACUGGGACUGAGACACGGCCCAGACCUCCGUACGGGAGGCAG